GGUCAAGCGAACAAGCGCACAUGGUGGAUGCCUUGGCGGUCAGAGGCGAUGAAGGACGUGGCAGCCUGCGAAAAGCGCGGGGGAGCUGGCAACAAGCUUUGAUCCCGCGAUGUCCGAAUGGGGAAACCCACCGCGCAAGCGGUAUUGCAUGGUGAAUACAUAGCCAUGCAAGGCGAACCCGGUGAACUGAAAUAUCUAAGUAACCGGAGGAAAAGAAAUCAACCGAGAUUCCCUGAGUAGUGACGAGCGAACGGGGAACAGCCCUUAAGCUGAUUGAGUUCUAGCAGAACAACCUGGAAAGGUUGGCCAUAGACGGUGACAGCCCGGUACGUGAAAGGGCUCUUUCAGUGAAAUCGAGUAGGGCGGGGCACGAGAAACCCUGUCUGAACAUGGGGGGACCAUCCUCCAAGGCUAAAUACUACUGACCGACCGAUAGUGAACCAGUACCGUGAGGGAAAGGCGAAAAGAACCCCGGUGAGGGGAGUGAAAUAGACCCUGAAACCGUGUGCGUACAAGCAGUAGGAGCCCUUCGGGGUGACUGCGUACCUUUUGUAUAAUGGGUCAGCGACUUAUUGUUCGUGGCAAGCUUAACCGUAUAGGGGAGGCGAAGGGAAACCGAGUCUGAAUAGGGCGCAUAGUCGCGGGCAAUAGACCCGAAACCGGGUGAUCUAGUCAUGCCCAGGGUGAAGGUCAGGUAACACUGACUGGAGGCCCGAACCCACUCCCGUUGCAAAGGUAGGGGAUGAGGUGUGAUUAGGAGUGAAAAGCUAAUCGAACCCGGAGAUAGCUGGUUCUCCUCGAAAGCUAUUUAGGUAGCGCCUCAUGUGAAUCUUCCUGGGGGUAGAGCACUGUUAUGGCUAGGGGGUCAUUGCGACUUACCAAACCAUGGCAAACUCCGAAUACCAGGACAGACUGCAUGGGAGACACACGGCGGGUGCUAACGUCCGUCGUGAAAAGGGAAACAACCCAGACCCACAGCUAAGGUCCCCAAUUACCGCUAAGUGGGAAACGAGGUGGAAAGGCACAGACAGCCAGGAGGUUGGCUUAGAAGCAGCCACCCUUUAAAGAAAGCGUAAUAGCUCACUGGUCGAGUCGGUCUGCGCGGAAGAUUUAACGGGGCUAAGCGGUAAACCGAAGCUUGGGGUGCAUGCUUUGCAUGCGCGGUAGAGGAGCGUUCCGUAGGCCGUUGAAGGUGGAUCGAGAGGUCUGCUGGAGGUAUCGGAAGUGCGAAUGCUGACAUGAGUAACGACAAUGCGGGUGAAAAGCCCGCACGCCGAAAGCCCAAGGUUUCCUUGCGCAACGUUAAUCGACGCAGGGUGAGUCGGCCCCUAAGGCGAGGCAGAAAUGCGUAGUCGAUGGGAAGCUGGUUAAUAUUCCAGCACCUCGCGUAAGUGCGAUGGAGGGACGGAGAAGGCUAGGUCUACCGGGCGUUGGUUGUCCCGGGGAAAGCAGGUAGGCGGGGAUCUUUGGCAAAUCCGGGAUCCCGUUAACGCCGAGCAGCGAGACGAGUCCAUUGGGACGAAGUGACUGAUGCCACGCUUCCAGGAAAAGCUCCUAAGCUUCAGCUUACGCAGACCGUACCGUAAACCGACACAGGUGGGCAGGAUGAGAAUUCUCAGGCGCUUGAGAGAACUCGGGUG
This 1640-nucleotide non-coding RNA is filed under the name Lysobacter defluvii IMMIB APB-9 = DSM 18482. Its description in RNAcentral is "Bacterial large subunit ribosomal RNA". It matches the Rfam family "Bacterial large subunit ribosomal RNA", at positions 1 to 1706 of the family's 2925-position model. Lineage: Bacteria; Pseudomonadati; Pseudomonadota; Gammaproteobacteria; Lysobacterales; Lysobacteraceae. The record is from Rfam by way of RNAcentral.